Small nuclear RNA from Dipodomys ordii (Ord's kangaroo rat), 107 nucleotides. NCBI's taxonomy places the organism in Eukaryota, Metazoa, Chordata, Mammalia, Rodentia, Heteromyidae. The record is from Ensembl.
ACGCUAGCUUGGGCAGCACAUACGUGCAACUUGGAAUGAUACAGAGAAGAUUAGUCUGGCCCCUGCACAAAGAUGACACACAACUUCAUGAAGCAGUCCAUAUUUUC